This is a non-coding RNA of Vicia faba (fava bean), 300 nucleotides long. The record is from the annotation of a GenBank genome assembly. Lineage: Eukaryota; Viridiplantae; Streptophyta; Magnoliopsida; Fabales; Fabaceae.
AUGCGGCCGGUUACCGGGAACCGCAAGGUUGCAAGUUACAGUCACUCAAUUGAAAUGUUUGCCUUAGGAAUGAAGAUGGAUGAGCGGAGGUUUGAAGCCGCUCGACCCAAACAAGCAACGGCGAGCCCCUAUCAGAGAAAGCCUUGGUCAAGCGCGCUAGCGCGCUUUACUUGGAGGUUCGCGCAUCCUCUUGCUGGGAGAGGAAAGCCUGGAACUGAUGAAAUUCGGGGGAAACAUGGAAUCGGUCACUAUACUGGGGGGGCGAGACAUGACCGCGACUUAAGAUUCAAGUACCGUUGA